RNAcentral lists this ribosomal RNA (747 nucleotides) under Triticum aestivum (bread wheat). Its description in RNAcentral is "partial small subunit ribosomal RNA". The record is from RNAcentral. Lineage: Eukaryota; Viridiplantae; Streptophyta; Magnoliopsida; Poales; Poaceae.
CAUGUUAGUUGGGGGGAUUUCAAUAUCCUUCGGAAUCAGCAGGAAAAGAACAAUGACAGAUUUGAUUCUCGUUGGCCUUUUCUUUUCAACGUUGUUAUCGACAACCUCGAUUUGCGGGAGCUCUGUAUGUCUGGUCGCCAAGACACCUGGGCCAAUAACAGAGCAAACCUAACCUUUGAAAAACUAGAUCGAGUUCUGGUUACCACCGACUGGGAAUUCAAAUAUCCACUUGCUUCGGUACGGGCACUAGAACGAAUUGACGCCUUAUCGGAUCAUGCGCCUUUGCUUGCUGAUUUUCGUUUGGCUGCUCCUAGUGGGAAUUUUCACCAAUUCAAAUUUGAACUGGGAUGGCUUACUAGAGAGGGUUUUCAUGAGCUAGUUAAAAAAGUGUGGCAACGUCAACCUCGUGGUAAUACGCCAAUUGAACGAUGGAACAAUCGUAUUCGCGCUCUGCGCCGACUCCUUCGUGGUUGGGCUAAACACACUGCUGGAAUCUAUAAGAAAGAAAAGUUGCAACUUUCUACAUUAAUUAAUACUCUAGAUAAAAUCGCGGAGGUGAGGCCUCUGACUCCCACGGAGAUUGACCAAAAAAGUCAUCUUAAUGAGCAGAUUGCCCGUCUUUUGCGCGAAGAGGAAAUCAAAUGGUACCAACGUUGCAAGACGGACUCUCUUGUCCUAGGGGAUGAUAAUACGAAGUACUUUCAAAUGUUGGCCAAUGGCAGACAUAGGAAGAAAUGUAUCUUCGCU